UCUUGAUUUUAUGAAAGAAAAAGAUAUUUUCAUCAAAUUUUUUUUUUAAAAAAAAUUGAUCACUAUUAAAUAUCUAUUUUAUUAUUAAUUGUAUUACAUGAUUCAAUCAGCUGUCGUGCUCCACCUCAGAUUUUCUUCGCCGUCCUGGUGCACAAAAUAUUUCUUCUCUUUAUCUCUCUGUGCGUGCGUGCGUGCGUGCGUCCCUUUAUCAUUUUGUAGUAGAGAGCGCUUCUUUCGUAUUCCGUAAACGUAGGCCCA
This 258-nucleotide long non-coding RNA is filed under the name Elaeis guineensis (African oil palm). RNAcentral's name for it is "long non-coding RNA (EGUI_LNC015604)". Lineage: Eukaryota; Viridiplantae; Streptophyta; Magnoliopsida; Arecales; Arecaceae. The record is from RNAcentral.